RNAcentral lists this ribosomal RNA (253 nucleotides) under uncultured bacterium. RNAcentral describes it as "partial 16S ribosomal RNA". It matches the Rfam family "Bacterial small subunit ribosomal RNA", at positions 524 to 776 of the family's 1533-position model. The record is from RNAcentral.
UACAGAGGUCCCAAGCGUUGUUCGGAUUCACUGGGCGUAAAGGGUGCGUAGGCGGUUGGGUAAGUCUGUCGUGAAAUCUCCGAGCCUAACUCGGAAACUGCGUCGGAUACUAUUCAACUCGAGGAAUGGAGGGGAGACUGGAAUUCUCGGUGUAGCAGUGAAAUGCGUAGAUAUCGAGAGGAACACCAGUGGCGAAGGCGAGUCUCUGGACAUUUCCUGACGCUGAGGCACGAAAGCCAGGGGAGCAAACGGG